Molecule: long non-coding RNA, 3043 nt
Filed under: Capsicum annuum
Lineage: Eukaryota; Viridiplantae; Streptophyta; Magnoliopsida; Solanales; Solanaceae
Description: long non-coding RNA (CANN_LNC017618)
Source: RNAcentral
GUAGAAACACUCAUGCAACCUAAAAAAUCUUACAGGCGUCGUGAUUCUGAUCCAAAUUGAAGUCUUCUUCAAAAUUGAUAAUCGUCGAUGCUAUUGAUUGUUGCCUUCACAGGUACACCUACUGAUAAAUUGUAGAUUUAGGAUCUAGAAACCUUUAUUUGUUGUUUCGUAGCAAUAUCCAUAGAGUUUUUGAGUUCUUUUUAGAGGGAUGAACCUCCAUCGAAAUUAACACCAAAAGAAAACUCUAAUCCCUUGUGAAUAUGCCAUGAAGUGACCCGUAGCUGCUGAGAAAGUCUUUCCACCAAAUGAAAUCAUUUGUGAAGUGGCUUUGAUUUUGUGUGAUUUUUUAUGUGUUGUAUCUACUGAAAUUGUAUCGCAUCUCUCUUCUACUUCUGUGGAAUUUCCUUUUGUUAAUAAAGAUCUCAUUCCCUAUUUUUUGUAACUCUCGAACACGGGCUCUUACUCUUAUUUGCUAACAGUAUUUAUUGAGCUUUGUAUGGUAGUUCCUUAUUAUUAGUAUAUGUGAUUGUAUCUGCACAUGCAAAAUAAGCAAUACAGUUAGUUAAAAAAUCUGGGAGUUGGUUCCCUUCUGUAUAAUUGUGUCUGAUUAGGACCUCCCCAUGAUUCUCCAUUCUCGAAUCAAUUCAACUCCUAUGAUUAUUGUCCAUUGGCAGUCUCAAAUUUCAUUAUUCACUUUCUGCAAAAUCAGUUCAGUCUCCAAAUAAGUGGAAAAAUUUUAUUUCUAACAAAAAAAUCCAAGCCCUCUUGGAUAGCCAAAGAUUCAGCUUUCAAGCAAGUAGUAUUAGGAAUGCUCUUAGCUUCUGCAUAUAUUAAAUCUCCAUGACAAUCUCUUACACAAAAAGCCACAAAGCUGAAACCUGUUCUUUCUCUAACAGAAGCGUCAGCAUUACAUUUGAAUGAUCCACUUGGAGGUAAUUCCCAUCUCACAAUCUAACAACCACUUCUCCCACUAUUCUUUUGAUUCUCCAAUUUAUCAAUCAAUGAUGGCCAAUUACUAGGGAAUUUUGGUUUGAAGGAAAUCUUACUUUUGCAAAAAAGUAAGGAUUUUGAUUUAUAUCAUGAACUACCCUAUGUUUGGACAUAGUCCCUCUGCGAAGAAUGUUAUUCCUCCUCUUCCAUAGUUGUCACACAAUAAAAGCUGGGAUUGCCAACAAAAGUGGUUGAUUCUAGGAAAACUUUCAGCUUUCCACCACAUAAUAAUUACUUGAUUAACUUGAAUGAAAUUUCCCUGAAUGCCUACUGCAUCUGAAUACAACCUCCCUAUGCUAUUGGCAAAUUCUCCAGUGAGAAAUAAGUCAUCUUUUCCACUUGAGGAUUAUCACAAUAUCUAGACCUAGAGAUCGUAUAAACACUAUUUCUAGCCAAUAUCUCAUCCACCGAUAGUUUUUGCAUCUGCAUUCUCCACAUAAAAAUGAGAUUUUGAAAGACAUACGUGUCAUCGACAUCUGUUUGAAAAUCCAUUGCUCCUCCUCCUUAUGUCUUAGAUAUUCCCAAGUACUUUUAACUAAGAAUUUACUAUUGCUUGUAAGUAGCCACCAUGUUUUGUCCUUUACUUUUGAUUUCACUCUUUCAGAAUAAUCCUCAAGAAUGUAAUUAACCAGGUUUAUUGAUAACUGUCGCUUCAAAAUAACUUCAUUCCAUUUGCCAGCUUAAAAAAAAUAUUCUUCACCUCUACAGUGUGAAUGAUCAGAUCUGUUGGUAUAUGCUGAUAUGAAGAACCCAACUCGGUCCAAUUAUCAUACCAAAAACUAGUUGUGCCAUUCUCGGGAUCCCAUCAGAUUUGAUGCUCUAGCUCAUCUCUAGCUUCAAGCAUCUUCUUUCGUAGUUGUUGAUACCAGCACGAUUAACUUGGAGCAUAUAUAUAUAUAUAUAUAUAUAUAUAUAUAUAUGGAUGAUAGCUUGAAAUCUAAAAGAAGGCAUGAAGAAACAAAUACAAAAGUUCAUGGACAAUCAAGAUGCCAUUUGGGCAAUCAAGAAGGUCCCUUGUGGGUUAUUUGUAAAAUAGUCACUUUUGAGCUGUUUUUUGUAAUAGACUAUUUCUGUAAAGACAAUGGCUAUAAAUAGUUGCUUCAUUACUUAAAUUUUGGAUGACUCAAUUGUCUUGAAAAGACUUGAUAUUUAGUUACUCUACAUUAGGUUAGUAAUUAGGUUUAAUUUCAAUUAUUAGAUUAGAUCGAGUGAUUUGGGUGGAUUCCCAAAUUGCUUGUGUUAUCUUCUUCACUUGAUUGUUCAUUGAGUUGUCAUAUUGUGGUUUCAAUUUAGUUUCUCGUGCAUUUGAUUGAGUUCUCUUUCUCCCUUGGUUUAGUUGUUGUUCAAUUAAGCCCUUCUUUCCUCACUUCUCAUCUCUUGUUUCUUAAUUAUCCUUUAAUUUUAUUGUUUAAUUCCGCAUUUUUGAUAUUGAUUUUAGUCACUCGGUUAAGAUCGUUAUCAAUUGUGACCCCCUCUCCAUGAAAUCAUAGUAUGAAUUUUCUUCUUACGGUACUUUUCCAUAUUAAUGUGGACAAUAAAGUGCCUGAAGUCCUAAAAUUCUACCAGAACUUAGUAAAUAGAGCAUUUGAGACUUCAAAUAAAGACCCCCUUCCUCAGUAGGAAGAUCUCCAAUGUCUUCUUUUCCCCUUUUCCUUAUUACUCCAAAAAACCCUAACAAAUAUUCUCUGUAUUUCAUUUUGGUAGGUGCCAUAGUAGAAAAGAGAUAAAGAGGCAUACUUUGAAGGAUAUUUUUAAUAAGAAUAGCCUUGCCUUCAUAUGAUAAAAGCUUUCCCUUCCAGUGUUGAAGUUUAACCUUGAUCUUUUUUAUAAGAUUAUUAUAAAAGGCUUUAUCUUUCUAGCAUGAAAAAUAGGACAUCCCAAGUACUUAAAAGGGAAAAGUACCUCUACAAAAACCUGUAAUCUCAGCCACCUCUUGAGCCAGAUUUUCAUCUACCCUUUGAUGCGUAUAGAAAAAAGACUUAUCAACAUUGAUCUUCUGGCCAAAAAUCUUUUCAUCAUCAUGCAGUGUUGACUUGAUCAUCACUAGUGAUUG